UACGUAGGGGGCAAGCGUUGUCCGGAAUUAUUGGGCGUAAAGAGCGCGUAGGCGGUCCGGUAAGUCGGAUGUGAAAGUCGGGGGCUCAACCCUCGGAUGCCGAUCGAUACUGUCGGGCUAGAGUCCGGAAGAGGCGAGUGGAAUUCCUGGUGUAGCGGUGAAAUGCGCAGAUAUCAGGAGGAACACCAAUGGCGAAGGCAGCUCGCUGGGACGGUACUGACGCUGAGGCGCGAAAGCGUGGGGAGCAAACAGG
Molecule: ribosomal RNA, 253 nt
Filed under: uncultured bacterium
Lineage: Bacteria
Description: partial 16S ribosomal RNA
Rfam family: Bacterial small subunit ribosomal RNA
Source: RNAcentral